RNAcentral lists this ribosomal RNA (1148 nucleotides) under uncultured organism. RNAcentral describes it as "bacterial SSU rRNA". It matches the Rfam family "Bacterial small subunit ribosomal RNA", at positions 33 to 1187 of the family's 1533-position model. The record is from RNAcentral.
ACGCUAGCGGGAGGCUAACACAUGCAAGUCGAGGGGUACAUGGUUUUCGGACUGAUGACGACCGGCGCACGGGUGCGUAACGCGUAUGCAACCUUCCUUAUGCAGGAGGAUAGCCCAUGGAAACGUGGAUUAAUACUCCAUACUAUUAGUAUUAUGCAUGUAAUAUUAAUAAAAACUACGGUGGCAUAAGAUGGGCAUGCGUCUGAUUAGUUAGUUGGUGAGGUAACGGCUCACCAAGGCGAGAUCAGUAGGGGUCUGAGAGGAUAUCCCCCACACUGGUACUGAGACACGGACCAGACUCCUACGGGAGGCAGCAGUGAGGAAUAUUGGUCAAUGGGUGAGAGCCUGAACCAGCCAUCCCGCGUGCAGGAUGACGGCCCUAUGGGUUGUAAACUGCUUUUCUACGCCAAGAAAGGUCCCUACGUGUAGGGAAUUGACGGUAGCGUAGGAAUAAGCAUCGGCUAACUCCGUGCCAGCAGCCGCGGUAAUACGGAGGAUGCAAGCGUUAUCCGGAUUUAUUGGGUUUAAAGGGUGCGCAGGCGGGUUUUUAAGUCAGUGGUGAAAUACUGCCGCUUAACGGUAGAAUUGCCAUUGAAACUAGGAAUCUUGAGUGUGGUUGAGGUAGGCGGAAUGUGUAGUGUAGCGGUGAAAUGCAUAGAUAUUACACAGAACACCGAUUGCGGAGGCAGCUUACUAAGCCAUAACUGACGCUGAGGCACGAAAGCGUGGGGAGCGAACAGGAUUAGAUACCCUGGUAGUCCACGCUGUAAACGAUGUUCACUCGCUGUNUGCGAUACACAGUAAGCGGCUGAGCGAAAGCAUUAAGUGAACCACCUGGGGAGUACGAUCGCAAGGUUGAAACUCAAAGGAAUUGACGGGGGCCCGCACAAGCGGAGGAACAUGUGGUUUAAUUCGAUGAUACGCGAGGAACCUUACCUGGGCUUAAAUGUAGACUGCAUAGGAUGGAAACAUUCUUUCCCUUCGGGGCUGUUUACAAGGUGCUGCAUGGUUGUCGUCAGCUCGUGCCGUGAGGUGUCGGGUUAAGUCCCAUAACGAGCGCAACCCUUACCGUUAGUUGCCAACAGGUCAAGCUGGGGACUCUAGCGGGACUGCCACCGUAAGGUGAGAGGAAGGUGGGGAUGACGUCA